GACGAACGCUGGCGGCGCGCCUAACACAUGCAAGUCGAACGAGCGAGAGAGAGCUUGCUUUCUCGAGCGAGUGGCGAACGGGUGAGUAACGCGUGAGGAACCUGCCUCAAAGAGGGGGACAACAGUUGGAAACGACUGCUAAUACCGCAUAAGCCCACGGGUCGGCAUCGACCAGAGGGAAAAGGAGCAAUCCGCUUUGAGAUGGCCUCGCGUCCGAUUAGCUAGUUGGUGAGGUAACGGCCCACCAAGGCAACGAUCGGUAGCCGGACUGAGAGGUUGAACGGCCACAUUGGGACUGAGACACGGCCCAGACUCCUACGGGAGGCAGCAGUGGGGAAUAUUGCACAAUGGGGGAAACCCUGAUGCAGCGACGCCGCGUGGAGGAAGAAGGUCUUCGGAUUGUAAACUCCUGUUGUUGGGGAAGAUAAUGACGGUACCCAACAAGGAAGUGACGGCUAACUACGUGCCAGCAGCCGCGGUAAAACGUAGGUCACAAGCGUUGUCCGGAAUUACUGGGUGUAAAGGGAGCGCAGGCGGGAAGACAAGUUGGAAGUGAAAUCUAUGGGCUCAACCCAUAAACUGCUUUCAAAACUGUUUUUCUUGAGUAGUGCAGAGGUAGGCGGAAUUCCCGGUGUAGCGGUGGAAUGCGUAGAUAUCGGGAGGAACACCAGUGGCGAAGGCGGCCUACUGGGCACCAACUGACGCUGAGGCUCGAAAGUGUGGGUAGCAAACAGGAUUAGAUACCCUGGUAGUCCACACCGUAAACGAUGAUUACUAGGUGUUGGAGGAUUGACCCCCUCAGUGCCGCAGUUAACACAAUAAGUAAUCCACCUGGGGAGUACGACCGCAAGGUUGAAACUCAAAGGAAUUGACGGGGGCCCGCACAAGCAGUGGAGUAUGUGGUUUAAUUCGACGCAACGCGAAGAACCUUACCAAGUCUUGACAUCCCUUGACAGGCAUAGAAAUAUGUUUUCUCUUCGGAGCAAGGAGACAGGUGGUGCAUGGUUGUCGUCAGCUCGUGUCGUGAGAUGUUGGGUUAAGUCCCGCAACGAGCGCAACCCUUAUGGUCAGUUACUACGCAAGAGGACUCUGGCCAGACUGCCGUUGACAAAACGGAGGAAGGUGGGGAGGACGUCAAAUCAUCAUGCCCUUUAUGACUUGGGCUACACACGUACUACAAUGGCGUUAAACAAAGAGAAGCAAGACCGCGAGGUGGAGCAAAACUCAGAAACAACGUCCCAGUUCGGACUGCAGGCUGCAACUCGCCUGCACGAAGUCGGAAUUGCUAGUAAUCGUGGAUCAGCAUGCCACGGUGAAUACGUUCCCGGGCCUUGCACA
RNAcentral lists this ribosomal RNA (1338 nucleotides) under uncultured bacterium. Its description in RNAcentral is "bacterial SSU rRNA". It matches the Rfam family "Bacterial small subunit ribosomal RNA", at positions 28 to 1387 of the family's 1533-position model. The record is from RNAcentral.